Molecule: long non-coding RNA, 1550 nt
Organism: Oryzias javanicus (javanese ricefish)
Lineage: Eukaryota; Metazoa; Chordata; Actinopteri; Beloniformes; Adrianichthyidae
Source: Ensembl
UGUGUGUGUGUGCGUGUGCAUGUGUGUGUUUGUGUAUGUAUGAUCCCAGUGCUGACAGACAGAUCCUGGGCUCUCACAGCAGGAUUAAUAAUUAGCAAGCUUGUGGCCCUCCACUGGUGUAUUGGACUGCAAUGUCAAAGGCGUCUCACGUACACACACUGUCACAGUCACACAGGCAGUGGUCUAUAGGACAGGUAGCUCUGUUGCCUGGUGAUGAUAAUACAUGGGACAGUGAGGACCAGCAUAGUGGAUCAGUCUGAAAUAAAAUGGAUGACGAUGUAGCAGGUUAGUAUGUGUGUGUGCUUUUUAUUUUUUAAGUAAUUUGAAAAUGUCCUCAUAGUUCGAGUCCAUAAAAGAAACUCAAACUCAAAGUAGCUUCACUUGUUUAGCUUUAAAUGACUCGAAUAACAGAUAGUCAGAGUGGGAUAAUGAGUGCUCGAAUGUUCUCUCUUUGCAGGCAGAUGCUUCAUUAAUAACCUUCCUGUUUUUCAGCUGAAGCUGCAUCUAGGAGCACAAAGAAGUAUCGAUGCCUCUCUCUCGUCCAAGAGAAAGAUAGUUGCAUCAUGCAAGUGGAGUUCAAAAAACCAGAGGGUGGGGGCCUUGGCUUUGCUUUGGUGGGGGGAACCAAUGGCAGCAUGCUGAGAGUGAAAGAAAUCUGCUCCGGUGGAGCAGCCGAGCAGGAUGGACGACUAAAAGUGGGCGAUAUUCUUCUGGAGGUAACUAACCAUUUUCUGGUUUGGUAGAUUUGCAGUCUGGACAGAGAAAGCCCAUGGCGGUGUUGUUGUCUAUCCCAGGUGAAUGGGGUCAUUGUGUCUGGGCUGAGUCAUGGGAAGGUGGUGGACAUCCUGAGGAAGGCCGAGGGGGCCGUUCAACUCACCAUCUGCAGGGAUAUCCUCCCACUCACCUACUCAGAGUCACCAACACCGCCCAACAUGUCUGCUCACCAUGAAGUCUUUCAAACGGAGGUCAAGGCGUCCGUGUCCAGUCCUGAUCCCUGCUGCACACCCGUCACCCUGAGCAGACCAGUCGAGCGCCCCCCAGAGUCAACCCCAGACCCAAUGCUCAUCGAAGCAGAGGUCAUCCUAACCCGCCCCCACCCCCUCCUCACAGACUCACUGUAGUAACAGAUGAAGCUUCAGUUGAAGAGGUAACCCCGACCAUCAAGCACACUCACGACCUUGCAGUCACAAUCUGUCUUUAUGUUGAUUUCCACCAACACCUCUUUACUAACAUGUACUAACAUCUUGCUCAUCCUGUGUGUUGCCUUCUCUGGCUGUGGAAAAGAAGAGUUGCAACAACACACCUUCUCAUCAAGCUUGCUGCCCAUCCCUCAAUGUCACUGACAUGUUGCAUGGAGCCUCUGACAGGUAUUAACACCUGAAUUUUCCCUUCUGUUACCCGUGUCUUCUCCACCUCACAGUUCCUCCUUUCUCCUUUGUGUGCUGGAGUUCCACUUUCAACCACAAGGGGAAAGCAGAGAGCAAUAAACUUUCCUCUCCAGGAUUUUAACCUCAGUCCCAGAAUAACCCUCACUAAUGAGAUAUGAAAAC